Molecule: ribosomal RNA, 253 nt
Filed under: uncultured bacterium
Lineage: Bacteria
Description: partial 16S ribosomal RNA
Rfam family: Bacterial small subunit ribosomal RNA
Source: RNAcentral
UACGGAGGGUGCGAGCGUUACCCGGAUUUACUGGGUGUAAAGGGCGUGUCGGCGGUCUCUCAAGUCCAAUGCUAAAGACCGAAGCUCAACUUCGGGGGUGCGUUGGAUACUGUGAGGCUAGACGGUCGGAGAGGGUAGCGGAAUUUCCGGAGUAGCGGUGAAAUGCGCAGAUACCGGAAGGAACGCCAAUAGCGAAAGCAGCUACCUGGACGAUUUGUGACGCUGAGGCGCGAAAGCGUGGGGAGCAAACCGG